GUAAACUAAGGCUCAGAUAGUGGGAAUGACUUCCUCAGGGUAACAUAGUAAGUUAGCAGGAAAGCUAAGAAUAAGGGAGGACCCAUCUCUCUUGACUUCUGGUUCAGGGUUCUUUUUACUACUCCAGGCUACCUGUCAAGAAUCACCUGGAAUGCAGCUCUGGCUUGCCUAACAGCUUAAUUAAUUACAUUGUAUGUGAGUGACAUCAUUCUGUCUAUAGUAUAAAUUGAGUGAGAGUCCAUGUGAACCUUAACAACUCACCAGAGACUAUACCCAACCAACAAGAAUGGCUUCCUCAGUCCUUCAGAUGAUGAUGGCCGUGGGACUACUUACUUUGAUUCUUCCCUGUCAUGCUGUUGAUAAGCCAACAGUCUCUGAUCCAAAACAAAAUACAGAACUCCCAUCAUUUUUAAAUUCCCUGGGCACUGGAAUCCUUGAGUCUGCAGUGGAAUAUGUUCUUUCCUCAAUGGCCCGGAGAUCUGGAUUCUCUGAUAUGGAAGAUAAACCAGAAAAGGCUUCAUAAAAAGAACUGGAUGCUGAUCUCAGCUCCUCAACAGACCAGGCCACUCCUUUCCCUCAGCUUUCCUGGCUGCCCAGCCCAGAGACCCUGAGCUGCUGUUAUUGCUUGGAUAUCAGUAGCUCCAGUCCCCUGGCUCAGCCUCGGAAGAUUUUGUAUAAAUGAUCACUCUUCCCUUCCUGGAAGACAAAAUAAAGUCCAUAAACUCAUGAUCUUGAGUCCUUAC
Molecule: long non-coding RNA, 743 nt
Filed under: Phascolarctos cinereus (koala)
Lineage: Eukaryota; Metazoa; Chordata; Mammalia; Diprotodontia; Phascolarctidae
Description: lncRNA (ENSPCIG00000005658.2)
Source: RNAcentral